GACGAACGCUGGCGGCGUGCUUAACACAUGCAAGUCGAACGGAAAGGCCCUGCUUUUGUGGGGUGCUCGAGUGGCGAACGGGUGAGUAACACGUGAGUAACCUGCCCUUGACUUUGGGAUAACUUCAGGAAACUGGGGCUAAUACCGGAUAGGAGCUCCUGCUGCAUGGUGGGGGUUGGAAAGUUUCGGCGGUUGGGGAUGGACUCGCGGCUUAUCAGCUUGUUGGUGGGGUAGUGGCUUACCAAGGCUUUGACGGGUAGCCGGCCUGAGAGGGUGACCGGCCACAUUGGGACUGAGAUACGGCCCAGACUCCUACGGGAGGCAGCAGUGGGGAGUAUUGCACAAUGGGCGGAAGCCUGAUGCAGCAACGCCGCGUGCGGGAUAACGGCCUUCGGGUUGUAAACCGCUUUCGCCUGUGACGAAGCGUGAGUGACGGUAAUGGGUAAAGAAGCACCGGCUAACUACGUG
Molecule: ribosomal RNA, 468 nt
Filed under: uncultured bacterium
Lineage: Bacteria
Description: partial 16S ribosomal RNA
Rfam family: Bacterial small subunit ribosomal RNA
Source: RNAcentral